RNAcentral lists this ribosomal RNA (406 nucleotides) under uncultured bacterium. Its description in RNAcentral is "partial 16S ribosomal RNA". It matches the Rfam family "Bacterial small subunit ribosomal RNA", at positions 30 to 526 of the family's 1533-position model. The record is from RNAcentral.
AUUGAACGCUGGCGGCAGGCCUAACACAUGCAAGUCGAACGAGUGGCGGACGGGUGAGGAAUGUCUGGGAAACUGCCUGAUGGAGGGGGAUAACUACUGGAAACGGUAGCUAAUACCGCAUACCAUCGGAUGUGCCCAGAUGGGAUUAGAUAGUGGGUGGGGUAAAGGCUCACCUAGGCGACGAUCCCUAGCUGGUCUGAGAGGAUGACCAGCCACACGGGAACGGAGACACGGUCCAGACUCCUACGGGAGGCAGCAGUGGGGAAUAUUGCACAAUGGGCGGAAGCCUGAUGCAGCCAUGCCGCGUGUAUGAAGAAGGCCUUCGGGUUGUAAAGUACUUUCAGCGGGGAGGCGUUACCCGCAGAAGAAGCACCGGCUAACUCCGUGCCAGCCGCCGCGGUAAUUC